UGUAACUUGGUGUAGAUGCAUUUUACAUUUUGGUUGUAAAGGUAAUUGGUAGUUAGUUACAU
Molecule: transfer RNA, 62 nt
Filed under: Plagiorchis elegans
Lineage: Eukaryota; Metazoa; Platyhelminthes; Trematoda; Plagiorchiida; Plagiorchiidae
Description: tRNA-Gln
Source: RNAcentral